GACCUACUGCAGAUACUGAGGGGGGAGUCAAGGGUCUGGGACAAAUUGCCAGCAGACCAGUAGGGGGCGACAAUGAGCUUCAGCCCUGAAUGCACACCUCUCUGUGCUGCUCUGUGUCACACACAGAACCCAUAGCAGAGCUGCUGCUGAACCACACACACUACUGUACCACAACUUCACAGGAAACACACAUUAUCAUUUCACAAGUAGCAAUGAUCACCAAGGCCUUCACCCUAAGCAGAGGAUGUGUACUUUCUCCUAGAGGAGGAAUGAGUGGGAUUUCAAAUGAACUGCUGUCUGAAGGGUAUUUUAAGUUGAAUACAUACAUCAGUGUUUAUGUAAUUAAAGGUGUUUUUGUUCAGAUGGGAUCCUGGUGACAGCUCAGCCACAAUGCACUGAAUUGCAUAAUUUAUUUUCUGCAACAGUAUUUCUUUGAUUGGCACGAUCAUCUUUUGUUUCUAAGUUUCAAAUUUUCUCAUUAGUUAUUCAAUUUAAACACAACAUUGCAUGAUACGGCAUGAAUAGAAUUCCAUAACAAGCUCCCGUAUUAUUCAUUUGAUCGUUUUAAACUCAAGGGAUAUCAAUGCAUUCAUUUUGAACCCGAUAUCCCUUGAGCUUAAUGCAUUCAAUUGCACAGGCAUCCAUUAUAUUUCAGGCAUGGAGUUAGUACUGGGUUAGUAUUACCAAAACCUGUUAGUGUUUGCUGAAUAAAUGCAGCAUUGUGUAUCUGGAAAUUUGAAGGAUGGAAUAUAUGAAAGUGAGAAAACCCCUCAGAUACCCGUCAAGUGUCAAGGUCACCAACUGUAAGAGACCCCUCUGAUGCACCAAACAGCAGAAGUAUCUGAGUGGAGAAGAAAUGGGUGCACUCUUACCUGGUGCUACAUGGAACAGGACUAAUUUAAUAUUAUUUCAAUUAUUUGACUCCAAAAUAAUGUUUUAACCUGUAACCUAACAGUUAUGGGGACCUAUUUUUCUCCAUUCGAGAAGUGCAACAUAUACAAUUAAAUUUUUCAGUCCAUGAAAUCACAAGGAAACAUUUAAAUGACUAAAACAUUCAUUGAAGCCACUGAAAAUUUUAAAAUGGAGAAAAUACAAUUUUUUGGCCAAUCUUUGGAGAAUGUGAAAUACAAAUAGAAAUUGUAAUCAUCAAA
Molecule: long non-coding RNA, 1151 nt
Organism: Anguilla rostrata (American eel)
Lineage: Eukaryota; Metazoa; Chordata; Actinopteri; Anguilliformes; Anguillidae
Exons: 2
Source: RefSeq, a predicted model, not a curated record